Myotis davidii is the source of this 75-nucleotide non-coding RNA. The record is from Rfam. NCBI's taxonomy places the organism in Eukaryota, Metazoa, Chordata, Mammalia, Chiroptera, Vespertilionidae.
UGCGGUUCUCAGGUGAGGGACCCCAGAAUCGGGCUCCCUCCUCUCUAGUUCCAGGUGCAUCACCCAAGAACCACA